Molecule: ribosomal RNA, 434 nt
Filed under: uncultured Lachnospiraceae bacterium
Lineage: Bacteria; Bacillati; Bacillota; Clostridia; Lachnospirales; Lachnospiraceae
Description: bacterial SSU rRNA
Rfam family: Bacterial small subunit ribosomal RNA
Source: RNAcentral
ACGGAAGGCAGCAGUGGGGAAUAUUGGACAAUGGGGGAAACCCUGAUCCAGCGACGCCGCGUGAGUGAAGAAGUAUUUCGGUAUGUAAGGCUCUAUCAGCAAGGAAGAAAAUGACGGUACUUGACUAAGAAGCCCCGGCUAACUACGUGCCAGCAGCCGCGGUAAUACGUAGGGGGCAAGCGUUAUCCGGAUUUACUGGGUGUAAAGGGAGCGUAGACGGCAUAGCAAGUCUGAAGUGAAAUGCAUGGGCUCAACCCAUGAACUGCUUUGGAAACUGUUAAGCUAGAGUGCAGGAGAGGUAAGUGGAAUUCCUAGUGUAGCGGUGAAAUGCGUAGAUAUUAGGAGGAACACCAGUGGCGAAGGCGGCUUACUGGACUGUAACUGACGUUGAGGCUCGAAAGCGUGGGGAGCAAACAGGAUUAGAUACCCUGGUA